This 72-nucleotide transfer RNA is filed under the name Camelus bactrianus (Bactrian camel). It matches the Rfam family "tRNA". From Rfam's summary of the family: Transfer RNA (tRNA) molecules are approximately 80 nucleotides in length. RNAcentral also lists the same sequence under 2 other names. The record is from Rfam by way of RNAcentral. Lineage: Eukaryota; Metazoa; Chordata; Mammalia; Artiodactyla; Camelidae.
GAGGGUAUAGCUGAGUGGUAGAGAGCCUGCUUAGCAAGCAUGAGGUCCUGGGUUCAAUCCCCAGGACCUCCA